CGUCUAGGAAUAAGAAAGGACAACAUAGUCUACAUAUAAAUGCUAAUACAAACCUGAAUAAGAUAGGAAGAAGAAGCAUUGGGCUGCGAACGUCAAACAGCUGCCUAGUCAACUCCGGAGACCUGUUGGACGCCUGAUCAGCACUCACUAUCGUGCCUCAAGACUCAUGGAUCUGCACACAACGUGUAGGGAGUAAUGUGAGUACGCCAACUCAGUAAGUAAUAAAAGUAAAAGCAGCGGAGCAGUAAGAAAACACGUAAACCACGUCAUAAUGCUACAGCAAAAUAGUUGAAGUCCAAAACAAUGCAGUAAAGCAAUAAAACUCGUAAAAACAACUCAAUUCAGUAAAACCUUUUAAAAAACCUUUCAAUAGUUCAAACGAGUGAUGAAAACAGUGAGUAAAAGGAUAGAAAUGUAAAUAGCCCCUCGGGCAAAACAUAUACCAUAUCCGCCCCUCGGGCAAAAUAUCAACAGAACCAGCCCCUCAGUCUACCUUGCAAUCACUCGUAAUCAGCCCCUCAGGCAAUAGCAUAAAAUAACAAUAGCCCCUCGAGCAAUAACACAUCUCACACUGGGUACAUGUGCUCACUAGGGUGUUCAGACUCUAGAGGGGCUCCUACAGCCCCAAGCGCUAUCAAAAGUCAUCUCGUGGCAUAAAAAAUCAGGCCCUCGUCCUCUCAUAUAUCACAAAUCAGUACACAUGCUGCGGUGCGCAGCCCGAUCCCAUGAUAUCCUCACAAUACAGGCCCUCGGCCUUACUCAGUCAGAAAUCUCUCAAGCCCCUCGGUCAACAGUAAAACAUGAUGCUCAGCCCAAAAUAUCAUUUAGAAAUAUCAAAACGGAGUAAAUACGGCUGAGUUAUAAAAAUAGUAGAAUACAACAUGAAUGAGUAAAAAUAUGAAGUCAAAACAGUAAGGAAUAGUAGUAAAAAUCCCCUAAAGGUCCAAAAUAGUUGGCACGUGGCCCAAGUAUGGCAUUCAGCCCAAAAUAUGGUAAUACUUUCCAAAACACAAUGAUAUCAAUAGUUUUAAAUCAAAUACGCGACUUGACAGUCAUACGGGAUGGACUAAGUCACAAUCCCCAAUGGUGCACGACCCCACGCUGGUCAUCUAGCGUGUGCGUCAGCUCAAAGUUUUACAACGAUGUGAAAUCCGGGGUUUCAUACCCUCAGGACAACAUUUACAAUCAUUACUUACCUCAAUCCGGUCCAAACUCUAGCCUGCGAUGCCUUUACCUCUCGACUCGGCCUUCGAAUGCCCCAAAUCUAGCCAAAAACAGUACCAUACCAUCAAAAUAUGCUAAGGGAACAAAGCCCACUCGAAAAUAACCAAUUUACAUCAAAAAUCCCGAAAUUGGCCAAACCCGACCCCCGGGCCCGUAUCUUGAAUUCUGAUAAANNNNNNNNNNNNNNNNNNNNNNNNNNNNNNNNNNNNNNNNNNNNNNNNNNNNNNNNNNNNNNNNNNNNNNNNNNNNNNNNNNNNNNNNNNNNNNNNNNNNNNNNNNNNNNNNNNNNNNNNNNNNNNNNNNNNNNNNNNNNNNNNNNNNNNNNNNNGUUCAUACAUAUCAAAUACAUCAAAAUCCGACCACAAACGACCCCUCAAAUCCUUAAUUCAAUGUCUCCAAUUUCAAGCCCUAAUUUUCCAAUUUUAGGCUUUAAAUCCCAUAAAUUUCAUGUCUAAUUAGCUAGAAAUCAUCAUAGAUUCGAGUAUUGAGUUCAAAAAUCUUAACUUCAAGAAGUUACCUUGAAUUCCCUCUUCAAAAUCUCCCAAAAAGCUCCAAAAUCGCUCAACAAUGGAGGAAGAUAGACCAAAAAUCACGAAAAUGACUAUUUAAACAUUCUGCCCAGAUGACAUUUCCUUCUUCUCGAACGCGGUCAAAGCCUCGCGUUCGUGAAGCAAAAAAAUCCAUUGACCACUUAAUCCUCUUACGCGAACGCGACUUCCAUAUCGCGAACACGAAAGUUCAGCUUCCCAGGCCACCACAAAUGCGACAUCACCUACGCGAACGAAAUGAACAACUACCAGGGGACCCCGCUGCUCCACUUACUCUACGCGAACGUGGGACCUACUUCGCAUUCGCGAUGCACACUCAGCCUCACCCUUGGCGAACGCGGGACCAACAUCGCGAACGCGAAGGGAAAUUCUCCUGCCUCAGUUCACAUCCCUUUGCGAACGCGAGAGCCCUCUCGUGCAACGCGAGGGCCAAAACAAUAUUUUGAUCCGUUAACCUCCCGAAACUCACCCGAGGCCCUCGAGACCUCAACCAAACAUGCGAACACUUACCAUAACCUCAUCCAAACUUAGUCGAGCCUUCGAAUCACUCAAAACAACUCUAAAACACCAAAUCAACCUCGAAUUCAAGCCUAAGAAUUCUAAAACUUCCAAAUUCCGCUUUCGAUCAAAAAGUCUAUCAAACCUCGUCCGAAUGACCUGAAAUUUUGCACAUACAUCACAAAUGACACAACGGACCUACACUUUUGGAAUUCCAUUCCAACCCCUAUAUCAAAAAUUUCACUAUCAACCGGAAACCGCCAAAAUUCCAAUUUCGCCAAUUCAAGCCUAAAUCUACCUCGGACCUCCAAAACAUAUUCAGAUCACGCUCCUAAGUCCCAAAUCACCUAAUGAAGCUAUUUGAACCAUCAGAAUUCAUAUCUGAGACCUUUUUCACAUAAUUCAACAUUCGGUUGACUUUUCCAACUUAAGCUUACUCAAAAGAGACUAAGUGUCUCACUCCUUUCGAAAACUACUCUGAACCCGUACCAACCAACCCGAUAACAUAUAAUACAGUUGAACAACAUAUAAAGAAGCAGAAAUGAGGGAAAUAAAGUGGUAACUCAUGAAACGACCGACCGGGUCGUUACAGAACCGUAGACCCUCAGUGGCCUUGGCUUUCAACCGGCCAAAACAAAAAACAGAACAAGAUAAUGAAGGAACCACAGAACAAAGCUUCAAACUUUAGUGAGAUUAUAGCGAUUUAGGUCUGCCCUUAAGGGGAAUGGGAAGGGGUUUAUAUAGUUGCAGAAAUUGAACAAGUAAACAAGAAAAACUAUAAAAUCAAACACAAAUAAGGAAGUAAUAACAUAUAGAAUCAAUAAAAAAUUGGAUUGGGGAAAAAAUAGGUAAACCCUAUUUGACAGAAAUCGAAGAUUGGCUAAAAAUCCUGGCUAAUCGGACCCAUAUAGCCAUGGUCGUGCUGUAUAUAGACUAAAUAUUGUCCAGAUUCAAAGGGUUGAAGUGAACAAGCAGAAUCGGAGAGAUAGUACUUGCCAUGUUUAGGCAAGUGCUAAGUAACAUCACAGAGAAACACCCAGUAGCGGAGGAACCCCAGUAUGGUAAGUAAAUAAUGAGAGAAUCCCAUUGUUGAUGGGAUUAAGGGAAGGUUUGGAGAGGGCGACGAUUAGGGUUUCGGGUGAGGUGAGGAGCGUUUGAGGGAAAUGUUGUUGGGACCGGUUUUUGGAAUGGGUUGGGUGAUUGG
RNAcentral lists this long non-coding RNA (3474 nucleotides) under Nicotiana tabacum (common tobacco). RNAcentral describes it as "long non-coding RNA (NTAB_LNC007521)". Lineage: Eukaryota; Viridiplantae; Streptophyta; Magnoliopsida; Solanales; Solanaceae. The record is from RNAcentral.